RNAcentral lists this transfer RNA (77 nucleotides) under Pontiella sulfatireligans. RNAcentral describes it as "tRNA-Arg(tct)". It matches the Rfam family "tRNA". From Rfam's summary of the family: Transfer RNA (tRNA) molecules are approximately 80 nucleotides in length. Their secondary structure includes four short double-helical elements and three loops (D, anti-codon, and T loops). Further hydrogen bonds mediate the characteristic L-shaped molecular structure. tRNAs have two regions of fundamental functional importance: the anti-codon, which is responsible for specific mRNA codon recognition, and the 3' end, to which the tRNAs corresponding amino acid is attached (by aminoacyl-tRNA synthetases). tRNAs cope with the degeneracy of the genetic code in two manners: having more than one tRNA (with a specific anti-codon) for a particular amino acid; and 'wobble' base-pairing, i.e. permitting non-standard base-pairing at the 3rd anti-codon position. RNAcentral also lists the same sequence under 1 other name. Lineage: Bacteria; Pseudomonadati; Kiritimatiellota; Kiritimatiellia; Kiritimatiellales; Pontiellaceae. The record is from RNAcentral.
GCCCUGAUAGCUCAGCUGGAUAGAGCAACGCACUUCUAAUGCGUAGGUCACAGGUUCGAAUCCUGUUCAGGGCACCA